This 498-nucleotide ribosomal RNA is filed under the name uncultured bacterium. Its description in RNAcentral is "partial 16S ribosomal RNA". It matches the Rfam family "Bacterial small subunit ribosomal RNA", at positions 28 to 507 of the family's 1533-position model. The record is from RNAcentral.
GACGAACGCUGGCGGCGUGCCUAAUACAUGCAAGUCGAACGAGAGCAACCGGUGCUUGCACUGGUCAAUCUAGUGGCGAACGGGUGAGUAACACGUGGGUAACCUGCCCAUCAGAGGGGGAUAACAUCCGGAAACGGAUGCUAAAACCGCAUAGGUCUUCGAACCGCAUGGUUUGAAGAGGAAAAGAGGCGCAAGCUUCUGCUGAUGGAUGGACCCGCGGUGCAUUAGCUAGUUGGUGAGGUAACGGCUCACCAAGGCCGUGAUGCAUAGCCGACCUGAGAGGGUGAUCGGCCACAUUGGGACUGAGACACGGCCCAAACUCCUACGGGAGGCAGCAGUAGGGAAUCUUCCGCAAUGGACGCAAGUCUGACGGAGCAACGCCGCGUGGGUGAAGAAGGUUUUCGGAUCGUAAAACUCUGUUGUUAGAGAAGAACAAGUGCUAGAGUAACUGUUAGCGCCUUGACGGUAUCUAACCAGAAAGCCACGGCUAACUACGUG